Long non-coding RNA from Mauremys reevesii (Reeves's turtle), 959 nucleotides. RefSeq lists it as uncharacterized. The record is from RefSeq and is a predicted model, not a curated record. The transcript has 9 exons. NCBI's taxonomy places the organism in Eukaryota, Metazoa, Chordata, Testudines, Geoemydidae.
GCUACAGUGGGGUCAAAGUGACAAAGGUAUUCUCUGUAUUUGAUUUUGUUGUAUUGCAGGAGUAUCUAGAGGUUUCUGCUAAGAAACUGAGGCAGAAAGAUUCAAUUAUUUCCCCAACGUCACACAGCUGGUCAAGAACUCAAGAUUUCCUUACGUCUAACGCUACUCUCAGUCCUCCAACCCAUGCUGCCUCUACUUGUGAGUAGUGUCAUUUGUUGCAGCUCUGACCUCACCAGCAACCCUAUCAUAAUAAAAAGUACAUGCAGUGGAAGAAAAAAAUAUGAUUAAAGAAGAAAAGUCACUGUAUGAAACUACCAAGAAAAUUGUCAGGAGGAAGAGAUGGAAUAUCCCCAGGGGAAAAAAAAAGUUUGUUCUUCUAGAAACAGUAGAACUCCUGCUGACAGUCUUAUCAGAAAUGUGGACAAGCUAAAGGAAAGAUCAAGAUCACCUUUGGCAAAAAGAAUCCUGUUAAUUCAUCCACCAAUGACACUACACCAUAGCGGUCUCUGAUACCAAGUGAGAAGUAGCUGCUCAGAUAUGCAAUCAUGCAAGGCAACAACUGAUCCACAUGAGUUUUUUAAACCUGCAGUUGUGAGAACAGAAAACUUCUGCUUAUCUUUUUAUCAGGUUUUCACUUCAGCUGGUGGUUUUAAGUCGGAAAAAUUCAGCUAAAGUUUUUGGAGAUGAAGUUAUGAAACAUCGGAUUUUUACGAAGGGAAGAGAGAUUUCCUAUUUAUGUAAGUGUUUAUACAUGGGCUAUUAAUCUACAUGUCAAUCUAGAAGCCCUUUCCAAAACUGUAUGCUUUACAGGAAUACUCUCUAAAUCAAGACAGAUGGUGCUCAAGGAGAAAGAAAAUGGGAGUUCUGAACAUAUGUAGUGCUAUAAAAAUGCUAAGUACUCAGAUAAAUCAGGUCCUAGGUGUCUCAGGUUGAGCACUAAAAUUAGUGAACACUUUUGA